GACGAACGCUGGCGGCGUGCCUAACACAUGCAAGUCGAACGGAACUGUUUUGAAAGAUUUCUUCGGAAUGAAUUUGAUUUAGUUUAGUGGCGGACGGGUGAGUAACGCGUGAGUAACCUGCCUUCAAGAGGGGGAUAACAUUCUGAAAAGAAUGCUAAUACCGCAUGACAUAUCGGAAUCACAUGGUUUUGAUAUCAAAGAUUUUAUCGCUUGAAGAUGGACUCGCGUCCGAUUAGUUAGUUGGUGAGGUAACGGCUCACCAAGACCGCGAUCGGUAGCCGGACUGAGAGGUUGAACGGCCACAUUGGGACUGAGACACGGCCCAGACUCCUACGGGAGGCAGCAGUGGGGGAUAUUGCGCAAUGGGGGCAACCCUGACGCAGCAACGCCGCGUGAAGGAUGAAGGUUUUCGGAUUGUAAACUUCUUUUAUUAAGGACGAAACUUGACGGUACUUAAUGAAUAAGCUCCGGCUAACUA
RNAcentral lists this ribosomal RNA (478 nucleotides) under uncultured bacterium. Its description in RNAcentral is "bacterial SSU rRNA". It matches the Rfam family "Bacterial small subunit ribosomal RNA", at positions 28 to 503 of the family's 1533-position model. The record is from RNAcentral.